Molecule: ribosomal RNA, 253 nt
Filed under: uncultured bacterium
Lineage: Bacteria
Description: partial 16S ribosomal RNA
Rfam family: Bacterial small subunit ribosomal RNA
Source: RNAcentral
UACGGAGGGGGCGAGCGUUAUGCGGAAUUAUUGGGCGUAAAGGGCGCGUAGGCGGCUUGGCAAGUCAAAGGUGAAAUCCCUCGGCUCAACUGAGGAACUGCCUUUGAAACUGCCUGGCUUGAGGCCGGGAGGGGGUAGCGGAAUUCCCAGUGUAGCGGUGAAAUGCGUAGAUAUUGGGAGGAACACCAGUGGCGAAGGCGGCUACCUGGACCGGUUCUGACGCUGAUGCGCGAAAGCGUGGGUAGCAAACAGG